UAAAGGCUAGAUAACCAGUAUCUGCUAAAAUUUUCAAAGCAUAUUUGCGCUGACAAACUGAAAUACCAAACUUAGAACUUGCAAUUUCAAGGCCCAAGAAGAACUUUAAGUCACCUAAAUCCUUAAUCUUGAAAGUGAUAUCAAGAAAGGAUUUGAUUCGAUUAAGCUUUUGAAGAUCAUUACCUGCUAAGAUUACAUCGUCAAUAUAAACUAGAAUAGCUGUAAAUGGAGAACCAACUUUAUGAGUAAAUAAAGAAUGAUCAGACUGAGAUUCAGAGUAGCCACAACCAAUAAGAGCUUGAGACAAUUUAAAAAACCAUUGCCGACUGGCCUGUUUAAGGCCAUAGAGAGAUUUUUCUAAUUUCCAAACCUUAGAAGAAUCAGAUGAAUGUUAACCAAGUGCGGGAGAGAAGGUGUCCAAGUAAUCAAUGCCCUCAAUCUGUGUAUAGCCUUUGGCUACAAGCGGGGCUUUAAAUCUCUCAAUGCUUCCAUCCGAUUUAUACUUAAUCUGAUAUACCCAUUUACAGCCAAUGGGGGUUUCGCCAGGUGGUAAAUCAACUAAGGUCCAGGUAUUAUUUGAUUCAAGAGCUGCAAUCUCAGCAGCCAUAGCAUUUCUCCAUUGUUCACUUUUGAUAGCUUAUAUGUAAGUUUUUGGUUCAGAUAUAGAUGAUAUGCUAAGAAUGUAAUGGAAACAAGAAGGAGAUAAUUUUUUAUAGGAAAGAACAGAAGAAAGGGGGUACCUGACUUUGGAAGAUGAUGUAGACUCAGUUGAAGCAGAGAAAUUGCAGUGAUAGUCAUCGAGGUAAGCUGGAGUUGAUCUUAUUCGAUUUGAACGUCUAAGGGGUUGUUGGGUUUAUGAAGAUGGAAUAAUGGAUGGGGGAUUUGGCUGAGAAGGGGGUAAUGGAGAAGAAGUGAGAUUAGGUGAGAGAGAAUUAUAAUCUGGGUAAUCAGAAUUUGGAAGAGAAGUGUCUACAGGCUGUGAAAAAGAAAAAUCAGAAGUAACAUGAGAAGAGAAUAGGAAAAUGUGUUUUGAGAAUUGGACAUCUCUAGAAAGAAAAAUCUCUCUAGUAGCUAGAUCCAUGAGAAUAUAAACCUUGACCCAAGAUUAUAGCCUAAAAAGAUGCAUUUGUGGGCCCUUAGUGCUAACUUGGUUCUAUGAGCUGCUAAAGUUGAGGCAAAACACAGGAAGCCAAAAACUUUGAAGUUAGCAUAAUUGGGGAUAGUGUGAUAAAGCAUUUCAAAUGGAGACUUAUCUUGUAAAAUGGGUGUAGGGGUUCUAUUUAAAAGGAAGAUUGCAUGAUGAAACAGCAUAAGACCAAAAAAUUUAGGGUAAAUGGGAUUGAAAUAUCAAAGCUCGGACUAUGUUUAAAAUGUGUUGGUGCUUUCGCUCUACAAUGGCAUUUUGUUAGUGGGGUUUCCACAUAAGUGGUUUGAUGCAAAAUUCCUUUAGAAUUAUAAAAAGAAGACAUGAGGAAUUUUGGACCAUUAUCAGAUCGUAUGGUUUGAAUUUUGGUGUGAAAUUUGUUUUCUAUGAAUGAGAUAAAGGAUUGUAGA
This is a long non-coding RNA of Jatropha curcas, 1554 nucleotides long. RefSeq lists it as uncharacterized. The record is from RefSeq and is a predicted model, not a curated record. NCBI's taxonomy places the organism in Eukaryota, Viridiplantae, Streptophyta, Magnoliopsida, Malpighiales, Euphorbiaceae.